Molecule: ribosomal RNA, 494 nt
Filed under: uncultured bacterium
Lineage: Bacteria
Description: partial 16S ribosomal RNA
Rfam family: Bacterial small subunit ribosomal RNA
Source: RNAcentral
GACGAACGCUGGCGGCGUGCUUAACACAUGCAAGUCGAACGGUGAAGCGCCUUCCUUUUUGGUGGGUGUGGAUGAGUGGCGAACGGGUGAGUAACACGUGAGUAACCUGCCCCCUUCUUCUGGAUAACCGCAUGAAAGUGUGGCUAAUACGGGAUAUUCUGAGUCUGUCGCAUGAUGGGUCUGGGAAAGAUAUUGUUUCGGUGGGGGAUGGGCUCGCGGCCUAUCAGCUUGUUGGUGGGGCGAUGGCCUACCAAGGCGGUGACGGGUAGCCGGCCUGAGAGGGUGGACGGUCACACUGGGACUGAGGCACGGCCCAGACUCCUACGGGAGGCAGCAGUGGGGAAUAUUGCACAAUGGGCGCAAGCCUGAUGCAGCGACGCCGCGUGAGGGAUGGAGGCCUUCGGGUUGUGAACCUCUUUCGCCAGUGAAGCAGGCCUGCCUCGUUUGUGGGUGGGUUGACGGUAGCUGGAUAAGAAGCGCCGGCUAACUACGUG